RNAcentral lists this ribosomal RNA (1547 nucleotides) under Loxodes cf. striatus. RNAcentral's name for it is "LSU rRNA". It matches the Rfam family "Eukaryotic large subunit ribosomal RNA", at positions 23 to 1874 of the family's 3401-position model. Lineage: Eukaryota; Ciliophora; Karyorelictea; Loxodida; Loxodidae. The record is from RNAcentral.
ACCCGCUGAACUUAAGCAUAUCAGUAAGCGGAGGAAAAGAAACUAACAAGGAUGGCCUUAGUAACGGCGAGUGAAGCGGCCAAAGCCCACUUGUAAAUCUUCGGAAUUGUAAGCUAGGGAUGAAUGGUGUAGACUUGAUUGGGCCUAAGUGGUCAGGAAUGACACGUCAUGGAGGGUGAUAACCCCGUGAGGUUCGAUUGGGUUGAAAACCAAACAAUCUAAGAGUCGGACAGCUUGGGAUUGCUGUCCAAAGUGCGAGGUAAACUCCUCGUAAGGCUAAAUACGUCCAGAGCCCGAUAGUGCACAAGUACCGUGAGGGAAAGGUGAAAAGCACUUUGGAAAGAGAGUUAAAAGACCUGAAAUUGUUGGGGAGGAAGCUGUGCGUCUACGAGAAAUCGGAGCAAAGCUUUGAAAAGAAGUAUUGCGAAGAUUUGGUGGACGGACCGUCCCGUCUUGAAACACGGACCAAGGAGUCUAGCUAUGUCGCGAGUCUGUACAUGGAAAUGUGUAGGCGAAAUGAAAGUGAUCUCUACCAUCAGUAGAGGCCCGUAAGCGGAGUGAGCGGCUUGGCUGGGACCCGAAAGAUGGUGAGCUAUGCUUGGGCAGGACGAAGCCAGGGGAAACUCUGGUGGAGGUUCGUGAAGGUGCUGACGUGCAAAUCGCUCUGUGGACCUGAGUAUAGGGGCGAAAGACUCAUCGAACCAUCUAGUAGCUGGUUCCCUCCGAAGUUUCCCUCAGGAUAGCUGGGACUUUUAGUGGCAUCCGGUAAAGCCAAUGAAUAGAGGUUCGGGAGGAGUCACUCCUUCCUCCUAUUAUCAAACUUUAAAUGGGUGCAGUGACGUUUCAUAAUUGAACGUUACAUAACAUACGUGUCCCUAGUGGGCCAAUCCUGGUAAGCAGGACUGGCGAUGAGGGCCCAACCUGAAGCGGAGUUAAGGCGACAGAACCCGUCUGCAAGUAAAGGCGUUAGUCCAUUUAGACAGUAGGACGGUGGCCAUGGAAGUCGGAACCCGCUAAGGAGUGUGUAACAACUCACCUACCGAAUGGACUAGCCCUGAAAAUGGAAGUCGCGAAAGGCGGGUGCCCAUACUCCGCCCUCUGGUGUAGGAGGGCGUAGUAUCUGCAUGGAAGUAAUUCUGUGAAGAGUUAUGGAGCAGGUAUUAGUGCAGAUCUUGGUGGUAGUAGCAAGUAUUCCAAUGCCAACUUGGAAGACUGAAGUGGAGAAGGUUUUCAUGAGAACCGCACUGGGUCAUGAGUCACCCGAUCCUAACCUCUCGAGGGAAAGGGGAUAUGGUUAAUAUUCCAUAGGUGCUUACUACAUAGUGGUGACACAAUAUGCCGCAAUACGUCGGGGUUGGUCCUGGGGAGAGUUGUCUUUUCUGUCUAACAUACAUGUGCGCCUGGAUCCAUUGCGGCGAGAGAGGCGUGAUGUAUGGAAGAGCAGCACACUGUAUGUGUUGUCUGGAGCACCAACUACGGCCCUUGAAACUUGCGGCAUGUAAUAUGUAGGAGCAUACACUCCUAAACCGCAUCAGGUCUCCAAGGUU